This 26-nucleotide non-coding RNA is filed under the name Cricetulus griseus (Chinese hamster). Lineage: Eukaryota; Metazoa; Chordata; Mammalia; Rodentia; Cricetidae. The record is from RNAcentral.
CUUUAUCUGCCUAUUCCUUCAUGUAG